AAAGGGUGCGUAGGUGGCUUUUUAAGUCAGGGGUGAAAGACGGUAGCUUAACUAUCGCAGUGCCCUUGAUACUGAAGAGCUUGAAUGAACUAGAGGUAGGCGGAAUGUGACAAGUAGCGGUGAAAUGCAUAGAUAUGUCACAGAACACCAAUUGCGAAGGCAGCUUACUAUGGUUAAAUUGACACUGAGGCACGAAAGCGUGGGGAUCAAACAGGAUUAGAUACCCUAGU
This 230-nucleotide ribosomal RNA is filed under the name uncultured bacterium. RNAcentral describes it as "partial 16S ribosomal RNA". It matches the Rfam family "Bacterial small subunit ribosomal RNA", at positions 562 to 791 of the family's 1533-position model. The record is from RNAcentral.